AAAAGUCAUACGUUGAUAAUAACAUUAAAUUCAGUUGCGGUGGUCGAGACCUACCUGCCCUCUCUAGGGUGGAAGUUUGGUGUUUUCUCGGAGUAUCUUUUACUCCAGAGGGCGCCAAAAUGUGCGACCUAAGACAAAAAUUGCAGGACAUCAUAGAGAAGCUUUCCAAAGCUUCCUUAAAACCGCAGCAACGACUGAUCGCAUUAAGAACAGUCGGUAUUACAAAACUGUUACACCAGCUGACGUUAGGGAACAAAACACUUGGCCUUCUUAAAAGCCUUGACACUAUAAUUAGAAAAGCCGUAAGAUCAUGGCUAAGGUUACCGACUAAUACGACCAACGCUUAUUUCUAUGCCAAAGACAGAGAUGGGGGCUUAUCCCUCCCAUCUCUAAGAUGGUUGGUACCUUCAAGAAGAAAGGGAAGGCUUAUGAACCUGGGAUGGCCAGACUCAAGUUUCCAUCAGCUUGAGGUUGAGAAUUGCGAGAAACUUUUGACUGACAACGGGAACAUUAUAGGUUUCGCUAAACAGAUAGAUGACAGAUGGGCUAAGCUCCUCCACAAUUCAGUGGAUGGGUGGGCGCUCUAAAAGUCAUCCAAAGUCCCCCAACAACACUGGUGGGUUACCGAUGGCACAAAAAUCCUAUCAGGCCGGGACUUCAUUAACUGCGCCAUGCAGAAGCCGGACCACGAGAGGUCGCCGAAAAGAUAGGUUUUGUAGAGCCGGAUGCAACGCUCUAGAGACUCUACAUCACAUAUUACAAACGUGCUAUAGAAGUCAUAGACAAAGAAUUGAGAGACACAAUGCAGUCACCAAAUACGUCAAAAGUGCUCUCGAGAAAAAACACUCUCGUGCCGAAUGGGAACCACUGUUCCAAACACCAGAAGGAACACGUAAACCUGAUCUUAUAGCGACGCAAGGAGAAUCUGCUAUUGUGAUUGACACACAAAUCGUUGGGAGCAACGUAGACAUGGAUUUAGCUCAUAAAUGCAAGAUAGAGCAUUAUAAGAGUUUGAACGCUCAGAUAAGAGAAGUACAACGCAUCUGAAGUGAUAUAUAGUACUGUUACCUUGAAUAACAGAGGAGUGUGGCACAUGGACUCUGCAAACUUUCUGCUGUCAGGCAAAGUUAUUAAGAAAGAUGAAUUAAAGAUUAUUUUCACAAGAGUUUUGAUCGGAGGACUCAACGAUUUCAGCGCUUGGACCAAAACAACGUCCACGAGACGCCAGGGGAUAGGGUAGAAUGAAACCUGGAAUACACCGUGCUGCCUGCGCGUAACAUCCCGUCAGGCAUAAUACUAGGAGUUAGGUUUAGUGGGUAUUGCCUUCGGGCCGAGUCCCACACUACCUGGUCAACCUGGCGACCGGUGUGCGUAAAUGCAUUCCCCUCCUAGUCAAAAAAAAAAAAUAGCCAAAUGCCUCGUCAUCUAACUAGUGACGCGCAUGAAUGGAUCAACGAGAUUUCCACUGUCCCUAUCUACUUUCUAGCGAAACCACUGUCAAGGAAACGGGCUUGGAAAAAUUAGCGGGGAAAGAAGACCCUGUUGAGCUUGCCUCUAGUCUGGCAUUGUAAGGAGACAUGAAAGGUGUAGCAUAAGUGGGAGAUAUCGAUAUAGUAAUAUCGUCGGUGAAAUACCACUACUUUCAUCGUUUCUUUACUCGAUUGGGCGGAAAGCGUGCAUCGAAAACUUGCGUUCCGACUGUCACGGUUUUCUAGAGCCAAGCGAAUAAGAGUGGCGUGAGGCAUUUCGCCGAUCGCCAAUAAUACUCUAGCGUAAUCCGAUUUGAGGAAACUGCUAGGUGGGGAGUUUGACUGGGGCGAAACAUCUGUCAAAUACUAACACAGGUGUCCUAAGGCCAGCUCAGCGAGGACAGAAACCUCGCGUAGAGCAAAAGGGCAAAUGCUGACUUGAUCCCGUUGUUCAGUUUGCACAGGGACUGCGAAAGCAUGGCCUAUCUAUCCUUUUGGCUUGAAGAGUUUUUAGCAAGAGGUGUCAGAAAAGUUACCACAGGGUUAACUGGCUUGUGGCAGCCAAGCGUUCAUAGCGACGUUGCUUUUUGAUCUUUCGAUGUCGGCUCUUCCUAUCAUUGCGAAGCAGAAUUCGCCAAGCGUUGGAUUGUUCACCCACAAAUAGGGAACGUGAGCUGGGUUUAGACCGUCGUGAGACAGAUUAGUUUUACCCUACUGAUGAAUCGUCGUUGCGAUAGUAAUCCUGCUCAGUACGAGAGGAACCGCACGUUCGGACAUUUGGUUCACGCACUCGGUCAAGCGGCCAGUGGUACGAAACUACCAUCCGUGGGAUUAUGCCUGAACGCCUCUAAGGCCGUAUCCUUUCUAGACAAAGUAAGCAACGAUAUCUCUAGGAGUCUCGUGAAUCGAAAGGCUCAAUACAAUGUGAUUUAUUAGGUAUUCGGCACACGCCGUUUAUCGCACGAGCCAUUUUUAGCCGAGUGAGGCGC
Molecule: ribosomal RNA, 2458 nt
Filed under: Ctenocephalides felis (cat flea)
Lineage: Eukaryota; Metazoa; Arthropoda; Insecta; Siphonaptera; Pulicidae
Description: eukaryotic LSU rRNA
Rfam family: Eukaryotic large subunit ribosomal RNA (bases 954-2458)
Source: RNAcentral